AUGAGUCAAUGUUGGGGUACUCUUAUAUUGCCAACAAGAUGUUUGAUAGUGAGGAUGAAGGUUAUAUAUUCUAUAAAAAAUAUGGUCUUGAGAAAGGUUUUAGUGUCCGGAGAAGCUAUGUUGAGUGGGAUGGAUCCAUUAAGGAAAAUUGUGUGUAGUCGUGAAGGGGUUCAUGAAGAGAAGCACAUGAAGAGGAAGAUGGAAGAUAGAAAGAGGAGGCCACGAAGUAUAACUCAUGUAGGGUGUAAAGCUAAAUUGGUGAUUGCAAGACAAGAGGAAACAUGUCAGUGGUUUGUGAAGGAUUUCAUCGAUGAACACAACCAUCCUCUAGCCCCACGGGGUCUUUCGUGUCUUUUGAGUUCACACAAAAGAAUUAGCGAUGAGCAAAAAACGGACAUUGCAGAAAUGGAAAAAUCUGGGAUCAGGAAACACCAUAUUAUGGAUAUUUUGUGCAUGCAAUACAGUGGAUAUGAUGAGGUUGGAUGCACGACGAGGGACAUUUACAAUUUCUGCCAUGCUAACAAGCAGGAAUCAAUCGCUUCCGGUGAUCAAUCACAUGGUGGCGCGGCGAGAGCAAGAUUCAGAUUUUUUUUCUUCAGCUACUUGGUUGAUGAUGUUGGCCAUCUAAAGGGACUUUUCUGGUGUGAUAGUCAACCCCGACUUGAAUACGAGGCUUUUGGAGACAUUAUUGUUUUUGAUAGCACAUAUAGAACCAAUAAGUACAAUCUGCCAUUUAUGUCAUUUGUCAAGUUGAGUCACCACCGCGGCACUGUUAUUUUUGGAUGUGGUAUCAUUUCUCAUGAAACAAGCCAGGCAUACGAGUGGAUGUUACAGAUCUCUUCUGAUGCCAUGGGAUAG
Molecule: ribosomal RNA, 858 nt
Filed under: Triticum aestivum (bread wheat)
Lineage: Eukaryota; Viridiplantae; Streptophyta; Magnoliopsida; Poales; Poaceae
Description: partial small subunit ribosomal RNA
Source: RNAcentral